This 781-nucleotide ribosomal RNA is filed under the name Elsinoe necatrix. RNAcentral describes it as "partial large subunit ribosomal RNA". It matches the Rfam family "Eukaryotic large subunit ribosomal RNA", at positions 69 to 871 of the family's 3401-position model. The record is from RNAcentral. Lineage: Eukaryota; Fungi; Ascomycota; Dothideomycetes; Myriangiales; Elsinoaceae.
CAGGGAUUGCCUCAGUAACGGCGAGUGAAGCGGCAACAGCUCAAAUUUGAAAUCUGGCGCCCCCCGGCGUCCGAGUUGUAAUUUGUAGAGGAUGCUAUUGGGUUGCCACCGGUCUAAGUUCCUUGGAACAGGACGUCACAGAGGGUGAGAAUCCCGUACGUGACCGGCCAGGCGCUCUCUGUAUAGCUCCUUCGACGAGUCGGGUUGUUUGGGAAUGCAGCCCUAAAUGGGAGGUAAAUUUCUUCUAAAGCUAAAUACCGGCCAGAGACCGAUAGCGCACAAGUAGAGUGAUCGAAAGAUGAAAAGCACUUUGGAAAGAGAGUUAAAAAGCACGUGAAAUUGUUGAAAGGGAAGCGCUUGCCAUCAGUCUCGACGGCGGCUGUUCGGCCUCUCUUCUGAGUGGUUUAUUCAGUCGCCGCCGGGCCAGCAUCAGUUUCGGCGGCCGGACAAAGGCGCGGGGAAUGUAGCUCCCUCGGGAGUGUUAUAGCCCCGCGUGCAAUACGGCCCGCCGGGACUGAGGUCCGCGCUUCGGCUAGGAUGCUGGCGAAAUGGUGGUAAGCGGCCCGUCUUGAAACACGGACCAAGGAGUCUAACAUCUACGCGAGUGUUUGGGUGUCAAACCCGUGCGCGCAAUGAAAGUGAACGGAGGUGGGAACCGCAAGGUGCACCAUCGACCGAUCCUGAUGUCUUCGGAUGGAUUUGAGUAAGAGCGUAGCUGUUGGGACCCGAAAGAUGGUGAACUAUGCCUGAAUAGGGUGAAGCCAGAGGAAACUCUGGUGGA